CUACAGGAUUCCCUCAGUAAGGGCGACUGAAGCGGGAAGAGCUCACCGUGUGAAUCUGUACAGGCUUGUCCUGUGCCGAGUUGUGGUCUGUAGAAGCAUCGUCUGUUGGUGUCCCGGGCCAAGUCCUUUGGAAAAAGGCAGCAGAGAGGGUGAGACUCCCGUUCUUGCCUGGGACAUUCGACUAUAUUCGUGCCUUCGACGAGUCGAGUUGUUUGGGAUUGCAGCUCAAAGUGGGUGGUAAAUUCCAUCUAAAGCUAAAUAUUGGUAGGAGACCGAUAGCGAACAAGUACCGUGAGGGAAAGAUGAAAAGAACUUUGAAAAGAGAGUUAAAGAGUCUCAUAAAAUUGUUGAAAGGGAAGCGAUGGAAACCAGUGUUGUUUGGGCUCAUUUUUCUUGUGCUGCUUGCAGCAGAAGCGCUGUGAGUCCAGAUAGGCCAGCAUGGGUUUGGAUCGGUACAAAUUGUUUUAGUGGAGGUAGGUCUAUUUCAGGCUGAAGACACUUUUAUGCUGUACUGGUCUGGACUGAGGCAAGCUCGUGUGAUGCUGGCAAAAUGGUUUUCAUUCCCCCGUCUUGAAACACGGACCAAGGAGUCUAACAUAUGUGCAAGUAUAGGAGUGGCAAACUCCCAUGCGUAAUGAAAGUAACAGUGGUAGGACCUUAUGGGGCACUAUCCGCCGGCCACAAUCCUUCGGGAGAAAGGUCUGAGUGUGAGCAUACAUGUUGGGACCCGAAAGAUGGUGAACUAUGCCUGAAUAGGGUGAAGCCAGGGGAAACUCUG
RNAcentral lists this ribosomal RNA (778 nucleotides) under Chaetoceros willei. RNAcentral's name for it is "partial large subunit ribosomal RNA". It matches the Rfam family "Eukaryotic large subunit ribosomal RNA", at positions 65 to 866 of the family's 3401-position model. Lineage: Eukaryota; Bacillariophyta; Thalassiosirophyceae; Chaetocerotales; Chaetocerotaceae. The record is from RNAcentral.